RNAcentral lists this ribosomal RNA (420 nucleotides) under uncultured eukaryote. RNAcentral describes it as "SSU rRNA". It matches the Rfam family "Eukaryotic small subunit ribosomal RNA", at positions 592 to 1017 of the family's 1831-position model. The record is from RNAcentral.
CAAUAGCGUAUAUUAAAGUUGUUGCAGUUAAAAAGCUCGUAGUUGGAUCUCAGGUCCAGGCUUGCGGUCCACUCCUUGGUGGCUACUGCUCGUCCUGACCUACCUCCCGGUUUUACCCUUGGUGCUCUUGAUUGAGUGUCUCGGGUGGCCGGAACAUUUACUUUGAAAAAUUAGAGUGUUCAAAGCAGGCAAUUCGCCUGAAUAAUGGUGCAUGGAAUAAUGGAAUAGGACCUCGGUUCUAUUUUGUUGGUUUUCGGAACUUGAGGUAAUGAUUAAGAGGGACAGACGGGGCAUUCGUAUUACGGUGUUAGAGGUGAAAUUCUUGGAUUAACGGAAGAUGAACUACUGCGAAAGCAUCUGCCAAGGAUGUUUUCAUUGAUCAAGAACGAAAGUUAGGGGAUCGAAGAUGAUUAGAUACCA